CAACCCGCUCCACCGGACCCUACCUGUCUGAGAGAGCCAACCGGGCCACUGUGAGGCUACUCAGCUCCAGAAGGGACCCAUUUGGCUCAGCGAAACCAGCGCCAACUGACCGCUCAUAGUCCAGCACAGAGUCCGAAACCUGCCCCGGCCCCAAGCCGCCAUGGCGGAGCCGAACUGGCAGCCCCCAAACCAGUGGCGACUGGGCCAUUUUCUCAGGAGAGAACACUACAGUUCACGCUCCAUGCUCCUCGAGAGGCAAUACUGGAAAGACAUCUGGCCCAUGGAGGAGGAUGACAAAGAGGAGGAAGAGAGUGAAGAAGAGGAGAAACCAAAGGAGGAGAAGGAAGAGAAGGA
Long non-coding RNA from Ornithorhynchus anatinus (platypus), 354 nucleotides. RefSeq lists it as uncharacterized. The transcript is spliced from 3 exons. NCBI's taxonomy places the organism in Eukaryota, Metazoa, Chordata, Mammalia, Monotremata, Ornithorhynchidae. The record is from RefSeq and is a predicted model, not a curated record.